Molecule: long non-coding RNA, 350 nt
Organism: Solanum pennellii
Lineage: Eukaryota; Viridiplantae; Streptophyta; Magnoliopsida; Solanales; Solanaceae
Exons: 2
Source: RefSeq, a predicted model, not a curated record
AAAAGAACACAAUUUUCAUCUUUUAACAGCAAAUCUCUCUUCUAAUCUAUUUUCUGUGUUUUAACUUUAUAUAUUAAACAGAAAAUGGGUUAUUUCAUUAUUGAUUUCUCAUUACAAGGCAAAGUUUACAAUGAAUUACCCUUCAAUUAGAGAUAAAAAAAAGUAAGGAAAAACUUGAUUUCAUGAUCAACCAUACAUAAAGAAAGGUUCAAGUUUCAACUUUUAAUGAAUAGGAUUAUUAGAGUUACCUGAAAGUUAUAAAAAUCAAAACACCCUUUUGUAAUUAUUAGUUAAAGUUCAAUUCUCCUCCAUUCAUUCAAUAUGAUUGUAACAGUUAAUCCUUACUUUCA